RNAcentral lists this long non-coding RNA (500 nucleotides) under Nicotiana benthamiana. Its description in RNAcentral is "long non-coding RNA (NBEN_LNC035052)". The record is from RNAcentral. Lineage: Eukaryota; Viridiplantae; Streptophyta; Magnoliopsida; Solanales; Solanaceae.
AGCGCACCGAUGUACAGUGUAAGAACCGCAUCGAUACUUUGAAGAAGAAGUACAAGCUUGAGAAAACCAAGUCAUCUCCGUCUAAAUGGCCGUUUUAUAACCGUCUCGAUUAUCUCAUCGGUACCAAUAACGUUUCUACCUCGCCGUGAUCAAGCUUAAUCGCGGCAAUCUCCGGCAGAAGGACUGGAAGGAAGUCGCUGACACCGUUAACUCCCGUCAAAACGGCGUUAAGCCUCAGCGCACCGAUGUACAGUGUAAGAACCGGAUCGAUACUUUGAAGAAGAAGUACAAGCUUGAGAAAACCAAGUCAUCUCCGUCUAAAUGGCCGUUUUAUAACCGUCUCGAUUAUCUCAUCGGUACCAAUAACGUUUCUACCUCGCCGUGUAAUAGAAAAUUGACUGCCGCGAUUACACUUACCGUUAAGUCAAACUCUAACCCUAACUUUGGUGCCAUGAAUUAUUCCGGCAGUUCAUCGAGGAUGAAUUCAAGUGGUUCCAAUU